Phyllostomus discolor (pale spear-nosed bat) is the source of this 126-nucleotide small nucleolar RNA. RefSeq annotates it as small nucleolar RNA SNORA25. The transcript has a single exon. The record is from RefSeq and is a predicted model, not a curated record. NCBI's taxonomy places the organism in Eukaryota, Metazoa, Chordata, Mammalia, Chiroptera, Phyllostomidae.
AGGUCAUUUCAAAAAGGGCCUGUGGGACCAAAAUCAGGAGCUUUUAAUGCUGUGACCUAAGACUGAAGUUCUCUGUAGGAUGUAAUAGACAUUCAAUAGUGCUAUGUUUCCUAAGGAGAUAUAAGA